AUGGGCACAGAAUUUUAUGAGACCAUGCUCAUCAUCAAAGGAGCCCGAGCUGAGACUGAGGAUGAUCUGAGCCAGUUGUUUGAAGACUUUGGAAUCAAUGGAAGCCAACUUGCAGCUUCAUUCGGUCCUCCUACUUUUGUGAUGGACUCCAACUUGACUAGCGACGCGGCGCCAGUCCCAUCGCCGUUGAGGGUGGGGCCCUCCGCCGCCUUGACGGUAGACUUGAUAGUUCCGACUUUGGAACUGGUGGAUGAAGCUGUUCUUGCAGCUCCACUCAGUCCUUCUGCUUAUAUGAUCGAGAAAAACUUGACUCACGACGAGGAUCCAGCUGCCACGCUGCCGGAGAGCGUCCGGAGGUGCAAGAGAGGCCCCCGCAAGCGAAGAAUACCAUUAUGCACAGACCAGGGCUGGUUUUUGGGUGACCACUUUGGGGGCACAUCCUGCCUCCGGGAUGCACCUUCUUCAAGUGAAGGCCGAAACCGUGGACUCAGAACAAACGGGCCCCAUUGGACAACGGAAGAGGUGACUGCACUAGUUGAUGGUCUUGAAGAAUUUGGUGGUCGACGAUGGUCUGCGAUAAAGAAGAAAUAUUUUCCAAAGCCAGAUCGAACAGAUCAGACAGAUCGAACUACGGAGAAUCUUAAGGAUAAGUGGAGAAAUCUGCGGAAAUCAUACACGGGAAGUGCAGAAAGAAGAUACUAUCUAGUUCUUCCUGAUCAUUUGAUCCAACGACUCAAGAGGCUAGCAGCGACUGGUAACUGA
RNAcentral lists this ribosomal RNA (762 nucleotides) under Triticum aestivum (bread wheat). RNAcentral's name for it is "partial small subunit ribosomal RNA". The record is from RNAcentral. Lineage: Eukaryota; Viridiplantae; Streptophyta; Magnoliopsida; Poales; Poaceae.